RNAcentral lists this ribosomal RNA (253 nucleotides) under uncultured bacterium. Its description in RNAcentral is "partial 16S ribosomal RNA". It matches the Rfam family "Bacterial small subunit ribosomal RNA", at positions 524 to 776 of the family's 1533-position model. The record is from RNAcentral.
UACGGAGGGUGCAAGCGUUGUUCGGAAUUACUGGGCGUAAAGCGCGUGUAGGCGGUUCGGUAAGUCGGUUGUGAAAGCCCCGAGCUCAACUCGGGAAUUGCGUCCGAAACUGCCGGACUGGAGUCCCGGAGAGGAAGGCAGAAUUCCCAAUGUAGGGGUGAAAUCCGUAGAUAUUGGGAGGAAUACCGGCUGCGAAGGCGGCCUUCUGGACGGUGACUGACGCUGAGACGCGAAAGCGUGGGGAGCAAACAGG